UACAGAGAGUGCGAACGUUGUUCGGGAUUACUGGGCUUAAAGCGCACGUAGGCGGCAUCGUAAGUGUCCGGUGAAAUCCCACGGCUCACCCGUGGAACUGCCUGGCAGACUGCGAUGCUCGAGUGUGGUAGGGGAGAGCGAAACUCCUGGUGGAGCGGUGAAAUGCGUAGAUAUCAGGAGGAACACCGGUGUCGAAGGCGGCUCUCUGGUCCAUGUCUGACGCUGAGGUGCGAAAGCUAGGAGAGCAAACUGG
RNAcentral lists this ribosomal RNA (253 nucleotides) under uncultured bacterium. RNAcentral's name for it is "partial 16S ribosomal RNA". It matches the Rfam family "Bacterial small subunit ribosomal RNA", at positions 524 to 776 of the family's 1533-position model. The record is from RNAcentral.